AGUACCCGGAGAAAUUCCACAGAAGCACUGGGAGAACAUGCAAAUAGGGCUGUGAAGAGAAAUCGGCUAAGUCAAUUACAAAAAUUGGUUGAUGCAAAAAUUUCUGCCUCAAGGCAAUAAAAAAUAUUAUUGAAAGCAUAUUUGCGCUACCUGGAACCAAUUUGUGCUGCCUGGAACCAUUUGGCCACUGUCCAUGUUUACUGCAGGGACAUUUGUUGCAGACUGAUGCACUAUUGGUCCAAUGAAAAACAAUGCCAAAAAUGACAGAGGAGCGUCUAUAAGUGAUUUUUAAGACACUAUUCGAAACUAUUAGGAACAGACUAAAAGACAAAUUUGGUCUUUCACAAUUGCACUAUGUCAGACUACUGCCAUAAAAUCUUGCCGUAUCUCGGGCAGACAGUGGCAACGACAUUUAUUCCGAUAGCACCGUAUCCCAUCUUUUACGACCAUUGGGCUUUUAUCUUGUCAAAUCAAACACUGGAGGCGGAACCAGAAAACGUGUCACCGGUCAAUGCGAGCGGAUACAACCGUUACCAUGGUGAUGAUAACAACAAUGGAUCGCGCCAACGUAUUGUAUUGUGUUGGGGAAAAAGAGAACAAAAAGAGGAAAAGCGUGGUGUUGUCACCGGUGCUCGGGAGUGGACUGUCCAUUCAAGGAGAGAUUAAGGUAUGUUCACGUACUUUUAAUACAAUACGGCUCACAAGCAGGCAGCAUAAUGUUAUGUAGCCUAAAUGGUAAUGUCCAGCUCGCUAAUGCUAAUUGUGAGUUUACUAUACACUCAACAUAUGCAGUUUAAGGACAGAACCCCUCAUAAAUGAGAAUAAAAUGUACCGUAUUUUCACGACCAUAAAACACACUUAAAAGUCUUAAAUUUUCUCCAAAAUGGACGGGGUGCCUUAUAAUGCGGCGUGCCUUAUGUGAGCACCAAGUUUCAAAAUCUGUAAAUGUUGUUGUGUGACUUUGAUGAGCGCUCCGCUUGACUGACUUAAAUAGAGGAAAGGCGGAGGUGACUGAGGACAGCAUGCGGACGUUAAAGGGGGAAGGGUGCGCGUGAAGGAGGACGCUAAAGGCAAGCCCCCAGUAGGUAUUUAGCGCCGGUAUGUGCAUUGUGCAAAACAUCAGUUUGGCUAAGGACCCCCGAAAAUGGCACCUACGAAGAGACACGCUUACGAAGCACAGUUUAAACUGCAAGCUAUCAGUUACGCACAGGAACAUGCGAAUAGAGCAGCUGCGAGAGAAUAUAAUAUAAAUGAAUCCAUGGUUCGCAAGUGGAGGAAGCAGGAAAACGAGCUUCGCCAAGUCAAGAAGACGAAGUUUCCGCGGAAACAAGGCGAGGUGGCCCGAGUUGGAAGACCAACUCGAGCAAUGGAUUAAUGAGCAAAGAACAGCCGGCAGAAGCGUCUCUUCAGUCACCAUUCGACUGAGUGCAAUAACUCGGAGCUUGCCAUCAUUCCAGGAGGCUUGACGAAGGAACUCCAACCGCUGUACAUCAGUGUAAACACGGCGUUCAAAGUGAAGUUGCGAGCGGUGUGGGAGCCAUGGAUGACAGACGGCGAACACAGCUUUGCUAAGAUUAGCAGGCAGUGCUGGGCGAGUUACGCCACAAUUUGUGAAUGGAUUGUGGAUGCUUGGGCUAACGUGUCUGCUUGCACUGUUGUUCAAGCUUUCGUAAAAGCCGGCAUAAUUUCUGAGGAGACGCACGGCAACGAGACUGCCUCUGACAAUGACGAGAGGGAACCUGCCGUGUUUGAUGGAGAACUUGCCCAGCUGUUCAUUAUUUUUUUAAUUAUAAUUUUUUUUCCCGCUUGACUGACUGGGAACAUUUCCGUGCUGUGCAUUGCAAAACAACAUCGGUUUGGCUAAGAACACUCGAAAAUGUCACCUACGAAGAGACGCGUACGAAGCACAGUUUAAACUGCAAGCUAUCAGUUACGCGGAGGAACAUGCGAAUAGAGCAGCCGCGAGAGAAUUUAAGAUCAACAAAUCCAUGGUUCGCAAGUGGAGGAAGCAGGAAAACGAGCUUCGCCAAGUCAAGAAGACGAAGCUGAGUUUCUGCGGGAAAAAAAGAAAACAAAACGCGGAAAGGCGAGGUGGCCCGAGUUGGAAGACCAACUCGAGCAAUGGAUUAAUGAGCAAAGAACACCCGGGAGAAGCGUCUCAAGUCACCAUUCGACUGAGUGCAAUAACUCGGGGCUUGCCAUCAUUCCGGGAGGAUUGACGAACCGUGGGACAUCCGUGUAAACAGGGCGUUCAAAGUGAAGUGAGCGGCGUGGGAGCCAUGGAUGACAGAUGGCCAACACAGCUUUACUAAGACUAGGAGGCAGCGCCGGGCGAGUUACGCCACAAUUUGUGAAUGGAUUGUGGAUGCUUGUUCAAGCUUUCGCACGGCAACGAGACUGACUCGAACCUGGAGUGUUUGAUUGAGAACUUGCCCAGCUGUUCAUUUCGGAUACAGAAGAUGAGGAUUGAUCAAAAAAUAACAACAGAAAAGUGCGGAGGAAGAGACGAGGGAGCGCAGCAACAGACUGAUGAGAUGUCAAAAGAGCGAGCGGAGUGGUGAAGGCAGACAGAUGAAACGCAAAGUUAAUACAGCGUGUCAUGCUUCAAUAUUUGAGGCAUGACAUUUCGACACAUCUUGCAGACGCUGUGGGUAUGUUGCUGAAUGCGCUGAAAACCCCGCCUCUCCGAAUCUUUCAGCUGUCAAUCAAAUAAGUGCCUUCUCUCACGGCUCCUAAGCGGGGAGAGGAGAAUUCCAAGCGACCCACAUUGCACUGGAUCUCAUGGGCUGCAGAGAAGCAGCCUCUGAGCUGGCAUAAUGACCAUAUGCCGUGCCGCCAGGACAAUUUUCCCCCCUUUGAAAUUCAGUGGACGGAACAUGGGAAUCGAGCA
This is a long non-coding RNA of Phyllopteryx taeniolatus (common seadragon), 2890 nucleotides long. RefSeq lists it as uncharacterized. The transcript is spliced from 3 exons. NCBI's taxonomy places the organism in Eukaryota, Metazoa, Chordata, Actinopteri, Syngnathiformes, Syngnathidae. The record is from RefSeq and is a predicted model, not a curated record.